CAGGAAGCGUCGAAAGACGUCUCUACACACCAUUGUGAACCUACCAUUGUCGUGCUUCGGCAGGCGGGCACAUAUGUCUUCUCAUUUGUGCCCUAUGAGCCUCGGUGAGGUGCCUGCCGGAGUGCAAACUAAUACUCUUGAAAUCAUUGUGGAACAUCAGACAAACCAAGAAAAUAAAUUGUAA
Molecule: unclassified non-coding RNA, 184 nt
Filed under: uncultured Sordariomycetes
Lineage: Eukaryota; Fungi; Ascomycota; Sordariomycetes
Description: sequence contains ITS1
Source: RNAcentral